CCGUAGGUGAACCUGCGGAGGGAUCAUUACAGAGUUCAUGCCCUACCGGGUAGAUCUCCCACCCUAUGUUAUUAUUACUUUGUUGCUUUGGCGGGCCGUUAGGCUCCGGCCCGACUACCGGCCCCGGCUGGUAAGCGCCCGCCAGAGGACCCAAAACCCUGAAUAUUAGUGUCGUCUGAGUACUAUAUAAUAGUUAGAACUUUCAACAACGGAUCUCUUGGUUCUG
This 226-nucleotide unclassified non-coding RNA is filed under the name plant metagenome. RNAcentral describes it as "partial contains small subunit ribosomal RNA, internal transcribed spacer 1, and 5.8S ribosomal RNA". The record is from RNAcentral.